Molecule: long non-coding RNA, 1980 nt
Organism: Pan troglodytes (chimpanzee)
Lineage: Eukaryota; Metazoa; Chordata; Mammalia; Primates; Hominidae
Exons: 5
Source: RefSeq, a predicted model, not a curated record
GGUUUUACGAGGCGCGCAGAAGGAAGUCGGCAGGCGAGACUGCAGAGGGAGUAGUGCGAUCCUGCGCGCGGGGGAACUAGCUGGAGGGCAAGGCGGGAACACCAUCUAUUGUUGGGGUGAUCGGACCUAACACCAGGUUGUGGGGACAACGAAGUCCGGAAGAGUGAAAGGAAUGAGAAAAGACAGUUUGAGAGAGAAAGUGGGCCCAGGGGGCCAAUGUGAGUAUGGAGGCUGUGAAGGCCCGGAGCCCUGGAAGCCCAGACUAUUUACUGAUGGUGUCUCGCUACAUUGCAUGACCUGAAGUGCAGUGGCUAUUCAUAGGUGCAAUUGUAGUGUUCUAUAGCCUUGAACUCCUGAGCUCAAGAAAUCCUCCUGCCUCAGCCUCCUGAGUAUCUAGGACUACAGGAGUGAGUGAGAGAUGAGGACAUAACAUUCAGUCAUGGCGCUACAAAAGCUGUUUCCUAAAGGUUUUAAAUUUUCAGGUCCUUGUAAGAUUUCCUUUGAAAGGAAAGGUCUGCUGGAAGAUGGACAAAUCUGCAGUAUUAGACACGUUUAUUGAUGAAGCUUUCCCUGACCACCCUAUUUAAAAAGCACCCACCUGUCCUGGUCCAGCACUCCUUAUCUGCUUUCCCUGCUUUGUUUUUCUCAACAAAGCUUAUCAACAUUCAAUUUACUAUAUAAUUUACUUCCUUAUUUUGUGUAUGGGUCAGGGUUAGAGCAGGAAACAGUACCCUCGAACUGGAUGACUUGGGACAGUGUAAUAAAAGAGUGGUUAACAAAGGUGUGGGCAAGGUUUAGGGAAGCUUCAGAGGGCUGCUGUAAUGUGAUGGGACCAGCAACCAUGGUGGUGGUGCUGGUGGGAGCCAUUGCCACCCCAAGGCCUAUAGGGUCAAAGUGAGAGAACAGUUACCAGGACAGAGAGAGGCACCUAGAAAGGAUAGCAAUGUGGAGCGGGCUGCCUCUGGGAGAAGGAUGCAGCCAUCCCUUGAUGAGUCAACUCAACUUGUCAACUCCUCUUGUUCUCUGAUCUCUUGCAAGUUCCUCCCAUUGGCUAAAUCUACCUGGAAGCAGAAGAGAAAGUGAGCUUAUGGAUGCAGUCUAUACAGAUGGGCCUCGCAGGGCACAGAUCAGAGUGGAGAGUGGACCAGGAGGUAGAAACAGACGAUGUCUUCUAUAUUUCAUUUGUCUUUUUCCUCCCACUAAAACAUAAGUUCUAUGAAGGAUGGGAUUUUUUUUUUUAGAUGGGGUCUCGCUCUUGUUGCCCAGGCUAGAGUGUGGUGGCACAGUCAUAGUUCACUGCACCCUCAAACUCCUGGGCUCAAACAAUCCUCCCACCUCGGCUUCCCAAAGCACUGGGAUUACAGGUUAUCUGCUUCCAUCUCUUGCAUACCUUGUGCUUGGAUGAGUGCCUGGCUCAGAGUUGGCGCUCGGUAAAUAGUUCUUCAGUAAAGGAAUAUCAGUUGUUUUCAUGUGAGUUUCAAAACUCAACUACAGUAGUGUAGUCACCACAGUCUAUUUAUAUCACCACAGGAGACAUUUUUUAAAUUUGUUCUGUCUCCCUGAUUUAUAUGAGUAAUGGUUAACACUCUCUUCUCUCUCUCUUUCUCUCUCUCUCUCUCUAUAUAUAUAUAUACACACAUAUAUAUACUUAUAUAUGUGUGUAUAUAGUUUGUGUGUGUGCUUGUAGCCACCAAAUUAGUGUAUAUAAAAUUAUUAUAUUAUUAUAUUAUUAGUUCUUUUGAAAUGGUCUUCAGCUAGAUUUUGAGUAACCAUAUUUAGAAGAAAAACCUCCUACACAGGUAUUUUCUGUUUAUUAACAUAAUUCAAGUCAUUAAAUCAUCUUUAUUUCACAUGUCUCUCAUGCUGCCAAGGACAGCAUUAUCUUCUUAAGUCCUAUGCCUUUCAAUACAGAAAUAAUCAUAGCAUAAAAACAUCAAGUACAACAACAUUUAUCCUAUUAAACUCUUAAAGAUUUAUCAC